Molecule: long non-coding RNA, 1317 nt
Organism: Planococcus citri (citrus mealybug)
Lineage: Eukaryota; Metazoa; Arthropoda; Insecta; Hemiptera; Pseudococcidae
Exons: 2
Source: RefSeq, a predicted model, not a curated record
UCGGAGCAGGAGUACCUACAUAUGUACAUCCCUCCGCAACGGAGACAUGUGAUACAUUGUUUACUUAUGUUAUCCUAGCCCACAUUCUUUCUCAACAAGUCGACAGGUGUUUUUACCUAAAAAAAAAGACCCUUUAGAUAAAAGUCUUACUCGUAUAGUACAUCAACACGAACCAAGCUCUUCACCAAACCGGUUGUGUUGGAAUGUCGACGCAAUAAGUCACCAACCUUUGCUUGAAUGUAUUCAUCAAAGAGUGCCACUACUGCCGUGAUGUUAGACGUUGUAAUCAGUGCUUUUACUGUAGUGUACGUAUAUCCAGAAUUUUGGUGUAAUUUAUAGUGCUGUUAUCAUUAUGUCAAUUCUGGUAGUAUAUGUAAUCAUUGCAUUCUUAAUCAAUACGAAUGUCAAAAGUUUUCCAUUAAUCGUUUUUAAUGCAUGCAGUCAAGACCCUGAGUGUUUCAUUUCCUAUGACUUCAGUUUUGAGAAACUUGGGGAUGGCCUGUUUUUGGGACCGCCAAUCUUACAUUUUGCAGAAAAAAGUUAUUUAUAUUUUCCUUUUACGAACGGUGACAAGGUUCGACUCUUAAAACACCUCGAUUUACGGGAUCCUGGAACCAUCAUGGUUACGAAAACGCUUGCAGAUGACAAUAACUGUUUCGUCGUGAGUGGAAAUUAUUCGACUGCAAAAGUAUCAAAUUGUUUAAAUGCGUCCAGUGUAACCGCAGUCAACGGAACUGAUCGAAAUCUCCUCGUUUAUAACAAUAGUACAAAGAAUCCGUUUAUUACCGUAAUGCAACUUCGAUAUGGCGCAGAUUUUAUAUUCACGCGAAUGAUAUAUUAUACACAAACAAUAAAGGAGAAUUUUUUUGAUCAAGCGGUGGCAGCAAACAUAAACCUCACCGGCCCUCCCAUCGUCUCGUUUUUCAAAAAACUGAGGGAGGAUUCCAAACCAUUUCCCAUCGAAGAAGAUAUCCAGCUGGGUAGUCUGGAUACCUGUAUAAAUAUAGAUGGAAGUUAUGAAGAUCCCCAAGUCGUCUACAUACCCUGCGAAACACCACGUGGACGCAGACCGUCUACCAGGACUGCGACUACUACAACAAUCACGGAACGACCAUAUCCAUUAUACGAACUGCCAUAUGCCAGAAAGUGAUGGGUAAUUUAAACAUUUAGCGUAAUAUCUAGAAUUGUUUAGAUUUUCCGAUGAGGAAUGAAGGGAGUAUGUAUUUAACCGGAAUGACUUAUGUAUGUAUGCUGAUGAAAUUGUGCCUAUGUAUCUAUUAAUGUGUUAUAUUUUCACAAGAAAAGGUCAGAAAUGGA